This 56-nucleotide non-coding RNA is filed under the name Spodoptera frugiperda (fall armyworm). The record is from RNAcentral. Lineage: Eukaryota; Metazoa; Arthropoda; Insecta; Lepidoptera; Noctuidae.
UGGGGUUUCAAAGCGGCAUGUGCCACCUGCUAUGCAAUGCCCUUGGAAAUCCCAAA